Schistosoma curassoni is the source of this 45-nucleotide non-coding RNA. NCBI's taxonomy places the organism in Eukaryota, Metazoa, Platyhelminthes, Trematoda, Strigeidida, Schistosomatidae. The record is from Rfam.
AUCCAGCUGAUGACUUCCAAAUAGGACGAAACUCGCGUCCUUGAU